Molecule: unclassified non-coding RNA, 1441 nt
Filed under: Hevea brasiliensis (rubber tree)
Lineage: Eukaryota; Viridiplantae; Streptophyta; Magnoliopsida; Malpighiales; Euphorbiaceae
Source: RNAcentral
AAUUCUUCUACCAGCUCCAAAUGGUAUUAAUUGCGGAGUUUGUCCUUUCACAUCAAAACUCUUUGCAUUUGUCAAAAACCUCUCUGGACGAAAUUCUCUAGGGCUCUCCCAAACAUUUGGAUCUCUUUGGAGUUUAUACAGAUUCACCCAUAAUCGUGUGCCUGUUGGAAUGUGAUACCCAGCCACAGUACAGUCUUCUAUAGAUUCAUGAGGGACAGAGAGUUGUGCUGCAGGAUAUAGACGCAACGUUUCCUUCACAACUGCUUGGAGAUAUAUCAAAUUUUUCAUGUCCGACUCUCUCACUUCCCUUUCUCUUCCAACUUGUUCAUCUAAUUCAAAUUGGACUUUCUUGAGUGUUUCUUCAUUAUUAACGAGUAAUGAUAGAGCCCAUACCAUUUCUGUUGUGGUGGUAUGAAAUCCACCUAAUAUCAAAGCCAAACAUGUAGAUUUGAUGACGGUAUCAACAUCGUAGUCAGAAAAAUCCUCAUCCUUGGAUAUAGACAACAUGAUGUGCAUUAGAUCUUGCUCUUCCAUCCCCACACCACCGGAAUUCCUCCUCUCCCGAUGCUCUCUAAGCCAUCUAUCAAGCAUCUCGUCCAUGACCUUUGCCGUCUUCUUCAUGGCCUUCUUGUACCCUCCAAAGUCAAACCAUCUUAGAAAUGGAAACAAAUCUGAUGGAACAAACACUAUAAACAAAUUAAAAAAAUCCUUCAACGCAUUCUGAUACUCUUCCCCACCAUUUCCUUCAAAAGCAUUUGAGAAUCGCUUUCCAACCACCAUCCUAAAUAUGGUGUUCAGUGUUAUAUCACCAAACCACGUCUCCAUCUCUACCAACGCUUUCUUGUUGGAUUUGCAUAACUCAUAUAGUUUGUCAAUCGAAUUCUGAACCUCCGAUCUCGGGAUGUGUUGGAGCUUCUCAAGGCGGUAGUUAGUGAGGAGUUCGACCGUGGCUAUUUUACGCACAUGGCGCCAAUGAGAACCAUAUGGGCUAGUCCCAAACAUGGCAUAGUUAUAGCCAAGAAGCUUAGCAGCAGCAAAUUUGGGGCGAGAUGCAAAUUUUUUGUCGUUGGUAGUAAAGCAUUCCUUUGCUAUUUCCCAACCGCUUACAAUCAAGGUUUUGUUGGUACCUAAUCUUAGCAUAAAGAUUGGUCCAUAAGCAUCUGCCAAUUUCGCCAAGGUAUUGUGAAUGAGUUCCUUUCCGGUGAGAAGAGGGAGGUGGCCGAUGACUGGCCAAGCACCGCGGGGUUGGGGCGGUAGUCUCUUACGACGAGCGCCAAAUGAAGUGAAGAGAGCAUAAAGAAAGAAGAGAAGGGUGAAGAAUAUCCCAGGUAGAGCUAUGUUGGAUGAGGCUUCCAUUUUGGUAAAGGGAACUAUUGGUGGUUGUGUUUUGAGAUGAACACUAUGAAUGAUUUGUUUGUACACAGGGUUGAAGUGGAUUGAA